GUGCUGGAUUCAGCAGCACAUAUACUAAAAUUGGAAUGAUAUAGGGAAGAUUAGCAUGGCCCCUGCAAAGGAUGACAUGCAAAUCAUGCAGCAUUAAAAGAAAAAA
RNAcentral lists this small nuclear RNA (106 nucleotides) under Microcebus murinus (gray mouse lemur). Lineage: Eukaryota; Metazoa; Chordata; Mammalia; Primates; Cheirogaleidae. The record is from RNAcentral.